UAGGCCUCAAAUUAGUAGGAUUACCCGCUGAACUUAAGCAUAUCAAUAAGC
Molecule: ribosomal RNA, 51 nt
Filed under: Calocera cornea
Lineage: Eukaryota; Fungi; Basidiomycota; Dacrymycetes; Dacrymycetales; Dacrymycetaceae
Description: partial 25S ribosomal RNA
Source: RNAcentral